GUCCACGCCCUAAACGAUGUCGACUGGUUGUUGGGGUUUGACACUCUCAGUAACGAAGCUAACGCGUGAAGUCGACCGCCUGGGGAGUACGGCCGCAAGGUUAAACUCAAAGGAAUUGACGGGGACCCGCACAAGCGGUGGAUUAUGUGGAUUAAUUCGAUGCAACGCGAAAACCUUACCUACCCUUGACAUGUCCGAGAGGCUGGAGAGAUCCAGCUGUGCCCGAAAGGGAUCGGAACACAGGUGCUGCAUGGCUGUCGU
Molecule: ribosomal RNA, 261 nt
Filed under: uncultured bacterium
Lineage: Bacteria
Description: partial 16S ribosomal RNA
Rfam family: Bacterial small subunit ribosomal RNA
Source: RNAcentral